GUACAAACUUGAUCAUUAGCUCUGCAUGAUGUGGUAGAAGCUAAGGGAACCAGGUUUGCCAAAGUAACUGUGAUGAUAGAAAUGUAUUAGCCUCUGAAGCUACUAAGGUGGCCCAUUCUAUCCUAGAGCACUA
This 133-nucleotide small nucleolar RNA is filed under the name Castor canadensis (American beaver). Lineage: Eukaryota; Metazoa; Chordata; Mammalia; Rodentia; Castoridae. The record is from RNAcentral.